Agelaius phoeniceus (red-winged blackbird) is the source of this 467-nucleotide non-coding RNA. Lineage: Eukaryota; Metazoa; Chordata; Aves; Passeriformes; Icteridae. The record is from RefSeq and is a predicted model, not a curated record.
CAGAAUGGACAUUUUCUGAGGAAAGCUGCCUCCUCCUUCUGAAAGUCAGCACAACUCCUAUGCAGAUGUGUGUAGCACAUUCUAUAGGUUGCUUGCAGGAUUGCCGUUACUUUGGUUUUGUUUCCUACUGAAGCUGAAGCUUCACAACCCACGCCACCAAUCAGUCACCAACCAGUCCUUUCUGAGGAGGACAAAGAGGAACUGGCAACCAGGGACACUUUGCUACUUCUAAAAUAUAAAUGGCAGUGGGACAAUUGCUUCCUCAAAAUGAAGGACCAGACUGUGGACACACUUCACACUUGCACACAUGAGCAGGUAUCUCUGCCACGUGUCUUGGGAGAAUCUUCUUGAAGUAAAGAAAUAGCUCUUAAGAACCAGAUUUUUUUUUUCUGGAAGCUGUACUGAGUAGCUAUGCUAAACUGCUGCUUUUUUAAUCUAACCUGUAUUAAAGAUGUUUUGAAUGCACA